AUUGAACGCUGGCGGCAGGCCUAACACAUGCGAGUCGAGCGGAUGAAGAGAGCUUGCUCUCUGAUUCAGCGGCGGACGGGUGAGUAAUGCCUAGGAAUCUGCCUGGUAGUGGGGGACAACGUUUCGAAAGGAACGCUAAUACCGCAUACGUCCUACGGGAGAAAGUGGGGGAUCUUCGGACCUCACGCUGUCAGAUGAGCCUAGGUACGAUUAGCUAGUUGGUGAGGUAAAGGCUCACCAAGGCGACGAUCGUUAACUGGUCUGAGAGGAGGAUCAGUCAAACUGGAACUGGGACGCGGUCCAGACUCCUACGGGAGUCAGCAGUGGGGAAUAUUGGACAAUGGGCGAAAGCCUGAUCCAGCCAUGCCGCGUGUGUGAAGAAGGUCUUCGGAUUGUAAAGCACUUUAAGUUGGGAGGAAGGGCAGUAAGUUAAUACCUUGCUGUUUUGACGUUACCGACAGAAUAAGCACCGGCUAACUUCGUGCCAGCCGCCGCAGUAA
This 500-nucleotide ribosomal RNA is filed under the name uncultured bacterium. RNAcentral's name for it is "partial 16S ribosomal RNA". It matches the Rfam family "Bacterial small subunit ribosomal RNA", at positions 30 to 523 of the family's 1533-position model. The record is from RNAcentral.